GCUUAACACAUGCAAGUCGAGGGGUAGCAGGGUAGCAAUACCGCUGACGACCGGCGCACGGGUGAGUAACACGUAUCCAACCUUCCCAUAACUCGGGGAUAGCCUUUCGAAAGAAAGAUUAAUACCCGAUAGUACUUUAUUAAGGCAUCUUAAGAAAGUUAAAGAUUUAUUGGUUAUGGAUGGGGAUGCGUUCCAUUAGAUAGUUGGUGAGGUAACGGCUCACCAAGUCUUCGAUGGAUAGGGGUUCUGAGAGGAAGGUCCCCCACAUUGGUACUGAGACACGGACCAAACUCCUACGGGAGGCAGCAGUGAGGAAUAUUGGUCAAUGGGCGAGAGCCUGAACCAGCCAAGUAGCGUGAAGGAUGACGG
RNAcentral lists this ribosomal RNA (369 nucleotides) under uncultured Bacteroidales bacterium. RNAcentral's name for it is "bacterial SSU rRNA". It matches the Rfam family "Bacterial small subunit ribosomal RNA", at positions 46 to 414 of the family's 1533-position model. Lineage: Bacteria; Pseudomonadati; Bacteroidota; Bacteroidia; Bacteroidales. The record is from RNAcentral.